CGCACGGGUGCGUAACGCGUAUGCAAUCUGCCUUUCACAGAGGGAUAGCCCAGAGAAAUUUGGAUUAAUACCUCAUAGUAUUAUGGAAGGGCAUCCUUUUAUAAUUAAAGUCACAACGGUGAAAGAUGAGCAUGCGUCCCAUUAGUUAGUUGGUAAGGUAACGGCUUACCAAGACUUCGAUGGGUAGGGGUCCUGAGAGGGAGAUCCCCCACACUGGUACUGAGACACGGACCAGACUCCUACGGGAGGCAGCAGUGAGGAAUAUUGGUCAAUGGGCGCAAGCCUGAACCAGCCAUGCCGCGUGCAGGAUGACGGUCCUAUGGAUUGUAAACUGCUUUUGUACGAGAAGAAACACCCCUACGAGUAGGGACUUGACGGUAUCGUAAGAAUAAGGAUCGGCUAACUCCGUGCCAGCAGCCGCGGUAAUACGGAGGAUCCAAGCGUUAUCCGGAAUCAUUGGGUUUAAAGGGUCCGUAGGCGGUCUUGUAAGUCAGUGGUGAAAGCCCAUCGCUCAACGAUGGAACGGCCAUUGAUACUGCAGGACUUGAAUUACUGGGAAGUAACUAGAAUAUGUAGUGUAGCGGUGAAAUGCUUAGAGAUUACAUGGAAUACCAAUUGCGAAGGCAGGUUACUACCAGUGGAUUGACGCUGAUGGACGAAAGCGUGGGUAGCGAACAGGAUUAGAUACCCUGGUAGUCCACGCCGUAAACGAUGGAUACUAGCUGUUGGGCGCAAGUUCAGUGGCUAAGCCAACCUGAUAAGUAUCCC
RNAcentral lists this ribosomal RNA (768 nucleotides) under uncultured bacterium. RNAcentral describes it as "bacterial SSU rRNA". It matches the Rfam family "Bacterial small subunit ribosomal RNA", at positions 99 to 870 of the family's 1533-position model. The record is from RNAcentral.